GGCCCGCUUGCCGAACUGUCGCCCGUCGAGGCGUGCGUUCCGGUAGCACCGGAUAGGCGGCGGGCAUCGU
This 70-nucleotide non-coding RNA is filed under the name unclassified sequences. Its description in RNAcentral is "DUF3800-IX RNA". It matches the Rfam family "DUF3800-IX RNA". From Rfam's summary of the family: Actinobacteria, Firmicutes (1 example), Nitrospirae, Proteobacteria, Verrucomicrobia (1 example). Nearby to DUF3800 The record is from Rfam by way of RNAcentral.